UGAGGAAUAUUGGUCAAUGGGCGGAAGCCUGAACCAGCCAAGUCGCGUGAGGGAAGAAGGCCCUGCGGGUCGCAGACCUCUUUGGACGGGGAGCAAGGCCGCCGACGUGUCGGCGGAAGGAGAGUACCCGUAGAACAAGCAUCGGCUAACUCCGUGCCAGCAGCCGCGGUAAUACGGAGGAUGCGAGCGUUAUCCGGAUUUAUUGGGUUUAAAGGGUGCGCAGGCGGCACGGCAAGCCGGCGGUCAAAUCGCGGGGCUCAACCCCGCCCAGCCGUCGGAACUGCCGGGCUAGAGUGGGCGAGA
RNAcentral lists this ribosomal RNA (303 nucleotides) under uncultured bacterium. RNAcentral's name for it is "bacterial SSU rRNA". It matches the Rfam family "Bacterial small subunit ribosomal RNA", at positions 355 to 655 of the family's 1533-position model. The record is from RNAcentral.